This is a long non-coding RNA of Sinocyclocheilus grahami, 206 nucleotides long. RefSeq lists it as uncharacterized. The record is from RefSeq and is a predicted model, not a curated record. The transcript is spliced from 3 exons. NCBI's taxonomy places the organism in Eukaryota, Metazoa, Chordata, Actinopteri, Cypriniformes, Cyprinidae.
GAUUGUGUGAGGAGAGCAACGAAUGCAAACUAGUGCUCUGGGUUUUUGGGCUAUUUAGCAAGGAUGUUUUUUGGAUUGCAUGUGUGAGGUGGAUCGGGUUUGAUCACGUUUUGGACACGUGCAAGGACUGGAGCCAUUUAGAUGGUCAGAAACUUCUCUGAAGCUGACUCCAAAGGCUCCAAAGCCCCUGAUAAACCUUCCAGAAC